GUAGGUGAACCUGCGGAAGGAUCAUUGAAUCUAUCAAACCACACCUUUGUGAACCAUUCUGUUGGCCAUGUAUGCAUGUGUAAAAGCAUGUGUGCAUCGGUUUGGGGAUUGAAGCAAUUCAAAACUCAAACCGGCUGCUGUUGUGUGUAUGGUAUGUAUAUACAUAUGCCAAUGGCAUCGGCCUCUAUUGCUAACCCAACACCAAACCUAAACUUAAUCUAAACCGAAUGCAUGGCUUAGAGCUGUGUUCACACAACCAAAGACAACUCUCAACAACGGAUAUCUUGGCUCUCAGAUCGAUGAAGAACGCAGCGAAAUGCGAUACGUAGUGUGAAUUGCAGAAAUACGUGAAUCAUCGAAUCUUUGAACGCAAAUUGCGCUCGAGGCUUCGGCCAAGAGCAUGUCUGCCUCAGCGUCGGGUAAAACCUCGCUCUCUCAAACAUGUCUGUUUGAGCAGAAGCGGACCUGACUGUCUCAGAUUGGUUUGCUCCAAUCUGGGUCGGUUGAAGUGCAGCUGUUGGUACAUGGACCCACUAAUGGGCCUCUACUGGGUAGGCAACCUGUUUGCUCUAUGCUUUAGUAGACGGCUUAGGAUCUGUGUGAUGCCAGCACAAAGCAGGAAUGCACCUUUGUGUGCAUCAAACCCUUUUUCCUCGACCUGAGCUCAGGCAAGAUUACCCGCUGAACUUAA
Molecule: ribosomal RNA, 691 nt
Filed under: Pandorina morum
Lineage: Eukaryota; Viridiplantae; Chlorophyta; Chlorophyceae; Chlamydomonadales; Volvocaceae
Description: eukaryotic LSU rRNA
Rfam family: 5.8S ribosomal RNA (bases 265-418)
Source: RNAcentral